GUCAUUAUAUCAAGGGUCGUCUCGACAUGCAUAUCAAGUUAUGAAUAAAAACUCAUAAUGAAAUUGCAUUUAGGCCAACAAUUUAGGGUCAUCAAGGGAGAUAUAUUCAAUUUUCACAUCUAUGGUCACCAAGGCACAAAACCAUCAAUCCAAUUUACCAUUAUGAAAAAACAUUGCAUAGUCAUUGCAUCUAGGGUCAACUCACCUUGCAUUUAUGAAUAAGCAUUCAUAUUGAAAUUGCAUUCAGACCAACAAUUUAGGGACAUCGAGCGACAUAUACUCACAAAGAGCUUCACCAACAUCCACUCCAAAAAGAAGGGCAAUCCAUUCUAUCUUUGAAAACACAAAUUGACCAAGUUCAUCACAGAUUCAUAUUCCAGUGUCAAGUCUGUUUAAAUUUGACGAAAAGGAUGCAUCAAUAUUACAUUUGAAUCGUCCCAGAGUCGGCCUUUUCCAAUAAACAGCAGCAGAAUCUAUUUGUGCCGCGGUCGCAUUAUGCAAAGCACCAAGUGGUAUCAGAGAUUUGAUACAGGCGAACCUGCAAAAUCUGAAAGGAUUUGCCGAGUCAUUGAAGGUCCAAUCAAGAAGCUUAAAAUUCUUUUCUAUUUCAACAUUAAUAAUGAAAUUGCAUUUAGGCCAACAAUUUAGGGGUUUGAGGCUCAAAUAUCAAAUUUUGCAUUCAAACUCAUCAUGAGACAUAUGCUCAAUUUCGCAUCUAAGGUAACCAAAAGCACACUACCAUCAUGCCAAUUUAUCACUAUUAAGAAAACAUCAUAGAGUCACUGUAUCAAGAGUGGUCUCAACAUGCAUAUCAAGUUAUGAAUAAAAAUUCAUAAUAAAAUUGAAUCUAGGGUCAUCAAAGGACAUAUGUUCAAUUUUCGCAUCUAAGGUCACUCAACGUGAAAUCAUCAUCCCAAUUUACUAUUACGAAAAAGCAUAGUAUAGCCAUCGUUUCAAGGGUCACAUAUUCAAGUUAGGGACACAGAGGGACAUAUCUUCAAGUUAGUCAUCUCGACUUGCAUUUAAAGUUAUGAAUAAGCAUUCACAUUGAAAUUCCAUUCAGACAAUCAAUCUAGGGACAUCAAGGGACAUAUACUCAAUUUCGCAUCAAAGGCACGAAGGCACACAACCCUCUUCACAAUAUACCGUAAUAAGAAAAUCAUUAUCAACUUGCAUUUUGAAUAAACAUUCAUAUUUCAAAUUACAUUUAGACCCUCAAAAUUUUCAUGUAUACCAUCCUGAUUUCAUAUGAAUAAAGAAUUCAUAUUGUAAGCCACAUAUUUGGUCAAAAAAUUCAUCUCAUUGGGUCAUCCAAACACAAUAUCCCAUGACUUGUCUUAAGAAUUUUUUUAGCAACAACACAAUUUCUUAGGCCAAAUUACCUUCUUAGGUAUGAAAAAUCAAGAUUCGCCAAUUUACCACACUCUUGGAUGAUACAAAAAACUACCCAAAACAACAGCUAUGUCAAACAAUAGUUUGAAGAAUCUGUUACUUCAUGAAAGACAAAAGUGAGUCAAAUCAAUUAAAAAAAAAUCCAAAAGAUACAGGAUAAAAUUUGAAACAAAGAUGUAGAAGUGAUAAAAAUCACAAGAACUCAAAGUGAUACAAGCAACACUGCUAAACUUGAAAGGGUUUGCAGAGUCAUUGAAGGUCCAAUCAAGAAGCUUAAAAUUCUUUUCUAUUUCUACAUUAAUAGCCAACAAUUAGGGGUUAUAAGGCUCAAAUAUAGAAUGCAGUCAUCAAGCGACAUAAACUCAAUUUCACAUAUAAGGUAACCAAAAGCACACUACCAUCAUGCCAAUUUAUCAUUAUUAGAAAAGCAUCAUAAAAGUCAUUCUAUCAAAGGUCGUCUCGACAUGCAUAUCAAAUUUUGAAGCUUAUGUAUAUAACUUCAAUCUAGUUUCUUGUGUUAUAUAGUUUAUUAACCCACAAAUCUUGCUGCAUUGCUGAAGAGCAAUCUAUUUUCUAUUUCAUUAUCAUGAAUCAUUUCCUGCUUUGAUUAGCAAACUCAAUUGUGUUAUAUAGUUUAUUAACCCACAAAUCUUGCUGCAUUGCUGAAGAGCAAUCUAUUUUCUAUUUCAUUAUCAUGAAUCAUUUCCUGCUUUGAUUAGAAAACUCAAUUGUGCUUUACAUUGCUUUUGAUAAAACAAAUAGAUGGCUAGCUAGUACUAAUUUACUUCUGUUAAUAGCUUUUAUCAAUGAGCACAGAGUAUAACUCAUUUUGGACUGGUUGUAGACUUCAUUUCUUUGUAGUCUCUUUGGAGAUUGAAAUGAAUGGUACUUUGGUUCUGGGAUCGGCUCAAUUUAUAUGGAACUAGGCAUCAGUUUUAAGGUUAAUUGCAAAUUUAUGAUUGUAAAAUUGCCAUUUCUGGUACUUAACGCCUGGUUUGCAAUCAUUGCAUAGAAAUGGAGUGAGUUUGGUAUAUUUUUAGAUAUACUGUUGAUUGCUAAGCGAUCAAGUGGCUGAAGUGUUUUGGAGGUUGUUAUCAACUUCUGCAUGCUAGUAAAGUUCUUUUCAUGGGAUUGACUCACUAAUUUGAAGGCCCUGACUCAGGGGAAUGGUCGACUAACAACUCAUGUUGUUCAUAUCUUCUGUUAUUGGCCUUUUUAAGCAAUCUAACCUUCAUCAUAAAAUAUCUGUUUAUAGCUUUUCCUAUUAAAGAAUUGAGUUUUGAAAUAUUAAAAGCUCUUAUAACCUGCUGUAGCAAGUCAAACUGGUGGUACACCAGUACACUGCAUCUAAAGUUCUGCUGCACCAUAUCCACGUAGGCGGUGACCUGGUUUUAUGAAAAUGUCACCAUAUCAAGUUUUGAAUAAAAAUUCAUAAUGAAAUUGAAUUUAGGCCAAAAAUAUAGAGUCAUCAAGGGACAAAUAUUCAAUUAUCGCAUCUAAGGUCACACAGCACAUAAUCAUCAUCCUAAUUUGCCAUUACUAAAAAGCAUACUAUAGUCAUUGCGUCAAGGGUCAUCUCCACUCACAUUUCAAGUUAUGACUAUGCAUUCACAUUGAAAUUACAGUCACUCAAACCAUCAACUUGGGUACAUCGAGGGACAUAUAUUCAAUAUAGGGACAUAGAGGGACAUGUAUUCAAUUUAGGGACAUCAAUGGGCUUAUAUACUAUUUUGCAUCCGUGGCGCCACGAGUCAUCUCCACUUACAUUUGUAGUUAUGAAUAAGCAUUCACAUUUAAAUUCCAUUCAGACCAUCAAUUUGGGACAUCGAGGGACAUAUACUCAAUUUCGUACCAAAGGCACCAAGGCACACAACCCUAUUCACAAUAUACUAAAAAUGUUCAUUUUCAGGCCAUCAAGGGACAUGCAUAUCAAUUUCAGACCAUCAAUUUAGGGACAUCUAGGGACAUAUUCAAGUUAGUGAAAUCGAGGGACAUAUGUUCGAUUUAGGGACAUUUGGGGACAUGUAUUCAAUAUAGGGACAUCGAUGGACAUAUAUACUAUUUAGCCUCUAUAGUUCCACAUGUCAUAUCCACUUACAUUUGAAGUUAUGAAUAAGCAUCCGCAUUGAAAUUCCAUUCAGGCCAUCAAUUUAGAGACAUGGACAGACAUAUAGUCGUCAUUUUAGGGACAUUGAGGGACAUAUAGCCAAUUUAGGGACAUCAAGGGACAUAUACUCAAUUUAGCAUCAAAGGCACCAAGGCACACAACCAUCUUGCCAAUGUAUCGCAACAAGAAAAUCGUUAUCAAGAUCCGACUUGCAUUUCGAAUAAACAUUCAUAUUUCAAAUUGCAUUUCAAAAUUUCCAUGCAUACCAUCCUGAUUCCAUAUGAAUAGUUUAAACNNNNNNNNNNNNNNNNNNNNNNNNNNNNNNNNNNNNNNNNNNNNNNNNNNNNNNNNNNAACAACAUUACAAGCAAAAGAAAUACAGAAAUCAAUUACAUGUGAAGUUAUAGCAACAUACUAACAUUGUGAAGGGGUAGAAUGGGACAUAUACUCAAUUUCACACCAAAGGCACACAACCCUCUUCACAAUAUACUAAAAAUGUUCAAUUUCAGACCAUCAAGGGACAUGCAUAUCAAUUUCAGGCCAUCAAUUUAGGGACAUCUAGGGACAUAUUCAAGUUAGUGAAAUCGAGAGACAUAUGUUCAAUUUAGGGACAUCUAGGGACAUGUAUUCGAUAUAGGGACAUCGAUGGACAUACAUACUAUUUUGCAUCUAUGGUGCCACAUGUCAUAUCCACUUACAUUUGAAGUUAUGAAUAAGCAUCCGCGUUGAAAUUCCAUUCAGGCCGUCAAUUUAGGGACAUCGACCGACAUAGACUCAAUUUAGCAUCAAAGGCACCAUGGAACACAACCAUCUUUCCAAUGUAUCGUAACAAGAAAAUCGUUAUCAAGUUUCGACUUGCAUUUCAAAUAAACAUUCAUAUUUCAAAUUGCAUUUAGACCAUCAAAAUUUCCCUGUAUACCAUCCUGAUUCCAUAUGAAUAGUUUAAGCAUAAGCACUAAACAUAAGCAUCAAUUUAGGGAUCAAUUUAGGGACAUCUAGGGACAUAUAUUCAAGUUAGUGAAAUCAAGGGACAUAUAUUAAAGUUAGGGACAUCGGUGGACAUACAUAUUAUUUUACAUCUAUAGCACCAAGUGGCAUCUUCACUUACAUUUGAAGUUAUGAAAGCAUUUACAUUGAAGCACCAUUAUGAUAAGUGUGUAUAGAAUAAUCUCUUAAUUAAAUCGCUUAUCCAGAGAGGGCCCAAAUAAAAUAAAAACAACAUUACAAGCAAAAAAAAUUACAGAAAUCAAUUACAUGUGAAGUUAUAGAAACAUACUAACAUUGUGAAGGGGUAGAAUGGAACUCAAGUGAAGAUAAAUGUCUUCCAGCAUCUGGUGACUUUAACAAGUUCCUACAAAUUCCACAUCAAAGGAUAGUAAUAAGUAUAUAACAACAACACACAAUCAAUCAAUAAUCAAUUUAAGUAAAAAAGCAAUAAAAUAAUAACCUUAGCAACAUCGUCGUUUAAUGGCUGAUGACAAACUGCAACGGUUUAUAAUUUUUUUUCCAUUUCUACAUCUCUCUUUCAAAUCGAAUCAAGACUUUUAGGGUUUACAAACACGAAAUCGUUAGAACAAAUGUUUUAGGGUUUGAGUAAUCAAGAUUCACGAUGAAACAACGAAUCAGUUUCGCAACACGAAACCGUAUAAAAAGGAUAUGAAAUAGUUCGAACAACGGAGAAGAAAUUGGGUGGAACGAAAGAUUGGUGGCAUUGUGGGUUUCUUACUAUAGGGUUGAAUGAAUCGAUGAUGAAUUUGAAUGAAAUUGAAUUCAAAGAAAACGGAACAAAGAAACCUAACACAAAGCCAUAAACCUGAUCAUGA
RNAcentral lists this long non-coding RNA (5321 nucleotides) under Trifolium pratense (red clover). Its description in RNAcentral is "long non-coding RNA (TPRA_LNC011496)". The record is from RNAcentral. Lineage: Eukaryota; Viridiplantae; Streptophyta; Magnoliopsida; Fabales; Fabaceae.